GGUGGGAGCUGAUUCAGGAGCCGGCCCAGCCGGCGGCUUUGAUGGGAUUUCAUCACCGCCUGUGCCUUGGCGGGGCGCCCAGAGAGAGCCCCGGGCUAUCAGCGCGCAGAACGGCUCCUCCCAGCCCCAGAGGGGGACCUGGUGCUGAAGGGUCCCGAAGCAGCCUAGAGGCUGAUCCCACGCCCAAGCCAUCUGCCCUCCCCACACUUUCCCAAGGAGCCCAGACGGAGAAAGGACCCAGCGAAUUAACGCGGAGCGACUCGUUAAUGACUUUAUUGCAGGGACCGCGGCCCUAACCUCACCGGUGUGGAAUUCCUUUCUCCCUCUCAAGAGUCCCUUUUGCUGGGUCUCUUGAGUCCAGCCCGCAACCUGCGGAAUUCAGCUCCUAAUUACUUGGGUCUCAACCAGUGCCUGCAACUUCACAGCGACUCGACUUCCUACCACCCUGUCCUGGUCGUCCCAUGCCAGCCACACCCCGGCCUGUUCCCUUGCUGCUUCCUUGACUAGCAUGGAUGCAGCACGGCAGCUGUGUGCACCCUGCACUCUCCUGCGUGCCACUGAGCAGCCACAGGGACCCAUCCAAGCCAGCUUGUCACUGUGCGGAAUGCGGAAUGCCAGGGCUCGGCAUGGCAAGCGCAACUCCUGGUUCCUGUCGUGAGUGGACAGGAGAUACACCGCUAGUACCCCAGACACACUUUUCCAUAUGCAAACUAUGGCCACCCCAACAUCACACCGUACCAGACACAUCGCCAUUAACUUCCACUGGAGGCUUCCUGCACAGGCAGCGUGCAGGGCAUCACCAGCGCCUCAGCCAGCACCACCCCACCAGACCCAGCAGAGCAGGGCCCUUCAGCCUGCUGUUGGGAAGGAACAAGUCACAAGAAGACACAUCAGCCCGCCUGCAGUCACAGAGGAGAUUCAAUCUCUUCAUAUGUUUGGCUGCUCGGAGUUUUUUUCAGUUUUGUUUUUUGUUUGUUUGUUUGUUUUUCUGGAAACUCCUAAGAGUUGGGGAAGAAAAAGUAAAUGGCUAAAGGUGGUAAAGAUGAACAAAUCCUGGAUCUCCCUCCCCCAGACUAGGGUCUUCUCUUGAGAAAAGCAGAGAGCAGACAACAGUUCAAAGGAGACAAGCAGCAAGUCAGCCCCCAAAAGGAUCCUCUGCUAGGAGCCCAGCUGGCCCGGACAGUGGUCCUCAAAGCCCAACAUCCCACCAACCUCGCCUCUCCCACCAUUCCCUGGGUGUCGAGUCUGGCCGCCCCAUAGAAUCAUCUGCUGGGCUCUCAUUGUGCUACAGUCCUUCAAAACAAGACCAAUCGCUUAUUGAAGAAUAAACUACAUCGAUAAUAACUACCCAAACCUUAGCCAGGCAUGGAGCCGUGUGCAUGUAAUCCCAGGACUAGAGAGUCUGGGGCAGGAGGAUCGCUGCUAGUUCAAGGCCAGACUAGGCUACAAAAUGAGUUCAAGACCAGCCUGGAAUCCAUAACGAGGACCCCCAUCUAAAAAUACAAAACCAAACCAAACCUGCUCAUCUCUUGAGUAAGCAACCUGUUGAAUGUUUUUAAAUCUUAACCAGCACCCGGAACAAAGCAGCAGCCUUUCAGAUCAGAGGCCGGGCUUGGUUUGACUGCACCUCAGUACCAGCCUCAGUGGCCGGCAUGAGGUAUGUACCUACCAAAGGGGUGUUGGAUGCAUCCCCGAAUGGUUACCUUUGCAUCUCCAUCUCUGUGUUGGACCCACGUAUCUUUUCUACCAGUUCCCACUUUGCCUCCGCUGCCCAAGGGACUGAUUCAGGAUUUCUUGUCCACCCUUCAAAAGGAUCCAUGCUGACUGACGAGCCUGUGGAGAAACCUUGAUAGCUGUGCAGACGGACAGGGAGAGCUGGCUGCUGACAGGCGCCGUGGCGAGCUGCGAGCUGCACUGCAGGGGAAAAGGGUGUUUCCUCUUCGUAGACUUGGAGCCGUGGUCUCGGCCACCAAUGCUAGUCAUGGCAUCCAUGUCUGCUAAGGACAAAGGACUGAGUCACUAGGGAACAGCACCCUGCAGCCGCCUUGCAUUAGCUCUAAGCAAAGGGACAAGCAGUGUGCACUCCUCCGUGUGCCAGGUGUCCAGGGCCACCCUGUUUCGAUGGCUGCCACCACACUGGAAGGGCAGAGGGGGUACAUGCCCUACACCCAUGUAAGCUGUCACAGCACACAUUCAGUGGGUGCCCCCUGAAUAUUAGUGGAUGUCUCCCAAAAGUCCAUGAGAAAUGAUUAGCCUACCAUUUAGUUAGCACUUACUACAUGCCAGGCACUGGCAUACGGGAUGACUUGUCCUCAUCACAUUUAUACUUUGCUGUUAUUCUCUCCGAUGAUCUGAUUACCCCCUCCACUUUUUUUUUUAACGAGGUUUCACUUUGUAUCCCAGGAUGGCUUUGAACU
Molecule: long non-coding RNA, 2417 nt
Organism: Fukomys damarensis (Damara mole-rat)
Lineage: Eukaryota; Metazoa; Chordata; Mammalia; Rodentia; Bathyergidae
Exons: 6
Source: RefSeq, a predicted model, not a curated record